Molecule: ribosomal RNA, 440 nt
Filed under: uncultured bacterium
Lineage: Bacteria
Description: partial 16S ribosomal RNA
Rfam family: Bacterial small subunit ribosomal RNA
Source: RNAcentral
CCUACGGGAGGCAGCAGUGGGGAAUAUUGCACAAUGGGGGAAACCCUGAUGCAGCGACGCCGCGUGAGUGAAGAAGUAAUUCGUUACGUAAAGCUCUAUCAGCAGGGACGAAAAUGACGGUACCUGAGUAAGAAGCCGCGGCUAACGACGGGCAAGCAGCCGCGGCAAUACGUAGGGGGCAAGCGUAAUCCGGAUUUACUGGGUGUAAAGGGAGCGUAGACGGCGCGCCAAGUCUGGAGUGAAAUGCCGGAGCUUAACGGCGGGACUGCUUUGGAAACUGGCGAACUAGAGUGCUGGAGGGGUAAGCGGAAUUCCUGGUGUAGCGGUGAAAUGCGUAGAUAUAAGGAGGAACACCGGUGGCGAAGGCGGCUUACUGGACCGUAACUGACGUUGAGGCGCGAAAGCGUGGGGAGCAAACAGGAUUAGAUACCCGAGUAGUC